UACGUAGGGUGCAAGCGUUGUCCGGAAUUAUUGGGCGUAAAGGGCGCGUAGGCGGAUAUUUAAGUUGGGGGUGAAAUCCCGGGGCUCAACCUCGGAAUUGCCUUCAAAACUGGAUAUCUUGAGUUCGGGAGAGGUGAGUGGAACUCCGAGUGUAGAGGUGAAAUUCGUAGAUAUUCGGAAGAACACCAGUGGCGAAGGCGACUCACUGGCCCGAUACUGACGCUGAGGCGCGAAAGCGUGGGGAGCAAACAGG
RNAcentral lists this ribosomal RNA (253 nucleotides) under uncultured bacterium. RNAcentral describes it as "partial 16S ribosomal RNA". It matches the Rfam family "Bacterial small subunit ribosomal RNA", at positions 524 to 776 of the family's 1533-position model. The record is from RNAcentral.